ACUGACAGGCUCUUUGACAGAGGUGGCCCUCUUGAACUCAAACUCUUCUCCAGCAAUCGCAGAGCUAGAUCUCGAUUCAUAGAAUGACGGUCCAAAUCGCUCUCUAUAUCUAGCCAUCUCCUUCAGCCUAUGUUGAUCAUCCAAACUUGUCUGAAUGGCGGUCUCAAUCUCUGACUCCUCAUCAUAUGGAGCAGAGGCAUCCUCUGAUUCUCUGAAAUGAUAGGAAGGUGGUUUUUUAGUUCGACGGUCUACCUCUAUCCUC
RNAcentral lists this long non-coding RNA (262 nucleotides) under Elaeis guineensis (African oil palm). RNAcentral's name for it is "long non-coding RNA (EGUI_LNC047098)". Lineage: Eukaryota; Viridiplantae; Streptophyta; Magnoliopsida; Arecales; Arecaceae. The record is from RNAcentral.